UCCCUCUUAGGUCAGUGGUAGAGCGCUUCACUAGUAUAAGGCGUUCCUAAAGUCCUUACUGAUGAAGAGGUCAGUCGUUCAAGUCGGCUAGAGGGAA
Molecule: non-coding RNA, 97 nt
Organism: Marasmius tenuissimus
Lineage: Eukaryota; Fungi; Basidiomycota; Agaricomycetes; Agaricales; Marasmiaceae
Source: the annotation of a GenBank genome assembly